Non-coding RNA from Leptonychotes weddellii (Weddell seal), 399 nucleotides. NCBI's taxonomy places the organism in Eukaryota, Metazoa, Chordata, Mammalia, Carnivora, Phocidae. The record is from RefSeq and is a predicted model, not a curated record.
GGCGCCUUCCGUUCAGUCGUCAUCACGUUGCUCCGGGGGUAGGUCCACGCCGCAGUGCACGCCUGCCCGGCGCGCCGCCUCACCAGCGCCGUUGCUAAGAGGCCUUGGAUACCUGGCCGCGGGAUGCGGGGCGGUGUCAGGUGAAGAUGGUGGUCACUGGGCCUCAGGUAACCAUGGAGAAAGAGCUUCGGAGCACCAUUCUUUUCAAUGCAUACAAAAAAGAAGUAUUUACCACCAACAAUGGCUAUAAAUCCAUGCAGAAAAGACUUCGGAGUAAUUGGAAGAUUCAGAGCUUAAAAGAUGAAAUCACAUCUGAGAAGCUAAUUGGGGUGAAACUGUGGAUUACAGCUGGGCCAAGGGAAAAAUUUACUGCAGCUGAGGUAAGAAAUAUCCAAAAAG